UCUCUCCUUGCCCUGAAAAUUUCAGUCCUGAACCUGUCUUCACAGCUCAUCUAUGAAAGGGUACCGGGGAUAAAGACAUCACUGCCUCACACCUCAUCCGCACGGGGUUGCAGACCUGGAAAGCUGCACGUGAAGCAACAAUGAGGAUUACUGCUCCGUUGAAAGGGGGCCCAGGUCCCAUCUGGGAUGAGCCACAUGCCGCAACUAAGAGUUUGCACGAUGCCACCGGAGACCCCGCAUGCUACAAUGAAGAUGGAGGGGCCCCGUGCCGCCCCCGAGACCUGGGGACAGUUGGAUAACUAUUGUGGACUCAGCUCUGAUACCACGAGAGACUGGUGUCAAAUCGGUUUACAGCCAAUGAGAUUGGAUUCCACCAUUCUUACAAGAAACCUCCUUCAUAACCGUUUGCAGUCCAAUGUGUUCUCUUGGAUGAGAACAUAGAUGGAGUUACAGCUACUACGCUGGAAAUUCUGGGAAAAUCCUGGUAAUUUCCAUGGAGGGGUCUUCCAUAUCUGACUUACAAUAGUAAUUCAUUUUGAAUGGAUGAAUGGAUGAAUAAUGUCAACACCCAAGCAAAUAUUCCCAAAGGAACCUCAAGACCCAAUGAUGGAAUGAGGACAGCAAGAGAGAGAAAUAAAUGAGAUAUGAGGUGAAAGAGGGUCAUGAAAAAAAAAUCCCAAGAUGAUGACAAAGCAAUCCCGAGAUGACAACUGGGUACCGGUGAUGGAGAGUGAGCCGCCCGAAUAUCUCCAGUAGAAAUUUCUUCAAAAUGGUGAAACUGAUACAAUUUGUGACAUGAAUCAUUGUGUUAAGAGAACUUAGAAAAACUAGUGGAGAGUUUUGGGUUGAAAAGCGAGAAGAAAAAGAAAAACCAUAAUUCCAGGGGGAAAAAUCACUGUUCAAAUUUAAAAAAUAGUAAAUAGUUCAGCUCUGAUGGCAUAUAUUGUCAUAAAGAUGUAAACAGCAAAUUCUCUGACCAAAACUGUGAGCUUUUUAGAGAGCACUGGGGAUGAGAGAUGUUCGUGUAUGUGUUGGUUGGGGUUUGGAAAAAAGUUAAAUCUUGAUCUUCCAUUGUGAGAAAACCAGUGUUUUUCCACUUUUUCAAAUCAAGGUAUUCAUAGAAUAUGAUAUUUGUCUGGUUCAGGCUGAAUUCGAAAUAUUUUGAGUUCCAAAUGGGCCUACUUGUGAAUCAAGAUAAUUUUGUAUGGCUAGUUGAUUUUUUAAACCAUGUAAAUAAAUAACUGUGAUUAUUGAAACCAUAAAAAAAGAGGCUACUUCUACUGUGACAAGGCAAGUUAAUGUAUUAGAGGGAAAAAUCUUACAUCAAAAUAUGUUGAAUCAUCUUCCUUCUUCCCUUAUCACCCAUCAAGGGUGUGAUAGGAAGAAUUAUGGCCCCCAAGAAAAUCCCAUGGCCUAAUUUCCAGGACUAUGAAUACAAUGAAAUAUCACACCCAUGAAUAUGUUACCUUAAGUGACAGAAGGAACUUCACACAGUUACUGAGUUUACUUUACAAUAGGGAGAUUGGCCUGGCUUAUUUGAAUGGGUUCAGUGUAAUCACAGGACAUCUUAAAAGCAGAAGUAGAAAUUUGAGAAGGAUUUGACAGACCACUGCUGGCUUGAAGGUGGAAGGAGCCACAUGAGAAGAAAUGCAAGUGUCUUUUAGGAGCAGAGAGUGGCCCCUGGCAGACAGACAGCAAGGAGACAGGGACUCAUGCCUAUAGCUGCGAGUCCCUGGCUUCUUCCGCUGACAAAUGAGCUUGGAAGAAAAUCCCAAGCCUCAGAACCACAGAUCUGGCCGGAGACCCUGAGCAAGUAACCUGUGCUGCUCUUCAGUCGCUAGGUCGUGUCCGCCUCUUCACCACCCCGUGGACCGCAGCACGCCAGGCUCCUCUGUCCUUCUCUGUCUCCCGGAAUUGGCUCAAGAUUCACACUGAUAGAGUCGAUGGUGCUGUCUAAUCUGAUCUGCUACUGCUGGCUUC
Long non-coding RNA from Dama dama (fallow deer), 1980 nucleotides. RefSeq lists it as uncharacterized. Lineage: Eukaryota; Metazoa; Chordata; Mammalia; Artiodactyla; Cervidae. The record is from RefSeq and is a predicted model, not a curated record. The transcript is spliced from 5 exons.